UACCGGAUAGGUCACUUCGGCUGGAAGGCGUUGUGGUUGAAACUUCCGGGGCUUUUGGAUGGGUCUGCGGCUGAUUAGGUUGUUGCCGGUGUAAUGUACCGUCAAGCCUGUAAUCAGUACGGGUUGUGGGAGCAAGAGCCCGGAGAUGGAUUCUGAGACACGAAUCCAGGCCCUACGGGGCGCAGCAGGCGCGAAAACUCUACAAUGCAGGCAACUGCGAUAGGGGGACAUCGAGUGAUCCUCAUAUUGGGGGUCUGUCCACCCGCCUAAAAAGCGGGUGUUAGCAAGGGCCGGGCAAGACCGGUGCCAGCCGCCGCGGUAAUACCGGCGGCUCGAGUGGUGGCCGAUAUUAUUGAGUCUAAAGGGUCCGUAGCCGGCUUUGCAAGUCUCUCGGGAAAUCCAGCGGCUUAACCGUUGGGCUGUCGGGGGGUACUACAUUGCUUGGGACUGGGAGAGGUAGGAG
Molecule: ribosomal RNA, 463 nt
Filed under: uncultured archaeon
Lineage: Archaea
Description: bacterial SSU rRNA
Rfam family: Archaeal small subunit ribosomal RNA
Source: RNAcentral